This 599-nucleotide ribosomal RNA is filed under the name uncultured bacterium. Its description in RNAcentral is "bacterial SSU rRNA". The stretch from base 1 to 523 matches the Rfam family "Bacterial small subunit ribosomal RNA", at positions 338 to 873 of the family's 1533-position model. The record is from RNAcentral.
CCUACGGGAGGCAGCAGUGGGGAAUAUUGGGCAAUGGAGGAAACUCUGACCCAGCGACGCCGCGUGCGGGAUGAAGGCCUUCGGGUUGUAAACCGCUUUCAGCAGGGAAGAAGCGAAAGUGACGGUACCUGCAGAAGAAGCACCGGCUAACUAUGUGCCAGCAGCCGCGGUAAUACAUAGGGUGCAAGCGUUGUCCGGAAUUAUUGGGCGUAAAGAGCUCGUAGGUGGUUCGUCACGUCGGAUGUGAAAAUCUGGGGCUUAACCCCAGACCUGCAUUCGAUACGGGCGAGCUUGAGUAUGGUAGGGGAGUCUGGAAUUCCUGGUGUAGCGGUGGAAUGCGCAGAUAUCAGGAGGAACACCAAUGGCGAAGGCAGGACUCUGGGCCAUUACUGACACUGAGGAGCGAAAGCGUGGGGAGCGAACAGGAUUAGAUACCCUGGUAGUCCACGCCGUAAACGGUGGGCACUAGUUGUGGGGACCUUCCACGGGUCUCUGCGACGCAGCUACGCAUAAGUAGCCCGCCCGGGACGGACGAGCGCAGAUAAACUACAAGAAGUAGACGGCGNGAGACGUGCCGAACGACGACGACGAGGGAGAGG